CUAGUUGGCGGGGUCAAAGCCCACCAAGGCGACGAUCGAUAGCUGGUCUGAGAGGACGAUCAGCCACACUGGGAUUGAGAACGGCCCAGACUCCUACGGGGGGCAGCAGUGAGGAAUUUUCGUCAAUGGGGGCAACCCUGAACGAGCAACGCCGCGUGCAGGAAGAAGGUUUUCGGAUCGUAAACUGCUUUUCUCUGGGACGAGCAAGGACGGUACCAGAGGAAUCAGCCCCGGCUAACUACGUGCCAGCAGCCGCGGUAAUACGUAGGGGGCGAGCGUUGUCCGGAUUUAUUGGGCGUAAAGGGUCCGCAGGCGGUUUGGUAAGUUUGACGUGACAGUGCCCGGCUUAACUGGGCAAGUGCGUUGGAAACUGCCAGACUUGAGGGCUUCAGAGGGAUGCGGAAUUCCGGGUGGAGUGGUGAAAUGCGUAGAUAUCCGGAGGAACACCAAAGGCGAAGGCAGCAUCCUGGGAAGUCUCUGACGCUCAGGGACGAAAGCUAGGGGAGCGAACGGGAUUAGAUACCCCGGUAGUCCUAGCCGUAAACGAUGACCACUAGACGUAAGAGGUAUCGACCCCCCUUGUGUCGUAGUUAACACGAUAAGUGGUCCGCCUGGGGAGUACGGUCGCAAGAUUAAAACUCAAAGGAAUUGACG
This 654-nucleotide ribosomal RNA is filed under the name uncultured bacterium. RNAcentral's name for it is "SSU rRNA". It matches the Rfam family "Bacterial small subunit ribosomal RNA", at positions 245 to 915 of the family's 1533-position model. The record is from RNAcentral.